Molecule: ribosomal RNA, 355 nt
Filed under: Ophisops elegans (snake-eyed lizard)
Lineage: Eukaryota; Metazoa; Chordata; Lepidosauria; Squamata; Lacertidae
Description: partial 16S ribosomal RNA
Rfam family: Bacterial large subunit ribosomal RNA
Source: RNAcentral
CUGAUCUCUCAGUCCAAAAGCUAAGAUACUUACACCAGACGAGAAGACCCUGUGGAGCUUCCAAACCAAUACCAAUACCCAUGGUUAUACGGUUUUUAGUUGGGGCGACUUCGGAGAACAAAAAAACCUCCAACUAGGAAAUCCUCCUAAUUAAGAUUUACACAUCUAAAUAUUUACUUGACCCAGUAGGCAUUUCCCCAUCUGAUCAAGGAACCAAGUUACCCCAGGGAUAACAGCGCCAUCCUCUUUCAGAGUCCCCAUCGACAAGAGGGUUUACGACCUCGAUGUUGGAUCAGGACAUCCCAAUAGUGCAACCGCUAUUAAAGGUUCGUUUGUUCAACGAUUAAAGUCCUAC